Coffea eugenioides is the source of this 659-nucleotide long non-coding RNA. RefSeq lists it as uncharacterized. The record is from RefSeq and is a predicted model, not a curated record. Lineage: Eukaryota; Viridiplantae; Streptophyta; Magnoliopsida; Gentianales; Rubiaceae. The transcript is spliced from 2 exons.
CUAUCUGAUUCUUUUUUCAGGUCAAGUUCAAUGUUGAUGCAAUUGAUCAGACUGAUCUCCUUGAAGAGACACUGAAGCCUCGAGUGGAAUCUAUUGGUGCAAAACUACAGAAAAUAAUAUUGAAUGGAGCUCAUAUUACACCUUGCAUACAGGAACCUAGAUGGCAAAUGGGAGAUAUAUACUCGCCUGUAGAUGCUGUUGCUCAAGGCCUUAAGACAAUUUCUUUGAAUGACACUAGAGUCCUCACAAGAACAAUUACAGACUGGUUUAGUCAACUUGAAGGAUAGACACACAUGAAUCAGACCCAUGAUGCGGCAAUAUCUGAAUCGUGUGAAUCCUUCCUGGUAUUGGGUUGACCUUCUUCCCUUUGAGUUGUUUGCAUAGAAUUUUUCUCGGAAAGUUUUGCAUGGAAAAACAUCCUAUGUUUGCAUAGAACUUUCUAGGAAUUUGCAGGGAAAAGCAUCCUAUGAUGCAUAGGAUGCAAGGAAUUUGGUUAGAUAUGAUAUAAAUACGUAAUUUUGAUAGUUGUAGGCAUCAUUACAAGUUACAUGACUUGUGAAAUAUAAAUCUCAGACACUUUCUCUCUAGAGUUCUGCACACACUCACACAGCAACAUUUAGCUUACUUUUGGUAAUUGAUACCAGCAAUCAUUUGCUUUC